CUCGUAGGCGGCUUCCUAAGUCAGUGGUGAAAACCUGUGGCUCAACCACAGGCCUGCCCCUGAAACUGGGAAGCUUGAGGCUGUGAGGGGAGAGGGGAAUUCCUGGUGUAUCGGUGAAAUGAGUUGAUAUCAGGAGGAACACCCGUGGCGAAGGCGCCUCUCUGGCACAGUACUGACGCUGAGGAGCGAAAGCGGUGGGGAGCAAACA
RNAcentral lists this ribosomal RNA (208 nucleotides) under uncultured bacterium. RNAcentral describes it as "partial 16S ribosomal RNA". It matches the Rfam family "Bacterial small subunit ribosomal RNA", at positions 568 to 774 of the family's 1533-position model. The record is from RNAcentral.